Molecule: non-coding RNA, 73 nt
Organism: Octopus bimaculoides (California two-spot octopus)
Lineage: Eukaryota; Metazoa; Mollusca; Cephalopoda; Octopoda; Octopodidae
Source: Rfam
GACAGUUUAGCUUAAUGGUAAAGCACCCAGCCAGAGUCUCUGAAAGAUAUGGGUUCAAGUCCCAUGGCUGGUU